Molecule: long non-coding RNA, 1583 nt
Organism: Syngnathus typhle (broad-nosed pipefish)
Lineage: Eukaryota; Metazoa; Chordata; Actinopteri; Syngnathiformes; Syngnathidae
Exons: 2
Source: RefSeq, a predicted model, not a curated record
AGUUAGUUUCCCCGUAAUAUAUGCAUAAUUAACCUUUUUUUUUUUUUUACUUCCAGUGAAAAGGACGGAGCCUGUUGCUGCUUGCUCACGAAGGCAGAAGACAGUUGGAGGUGCAGGAAUGCUGCCCUGUGACAACCUGUGAAAACAACCCCCGGCUCUCACGCGCUCCAUGUGCGGAUUCCGCGCAGCGGUGUCAGCAAGUCAAAUGGUCGAUAUGAAGAAGGAAGAAUUGUUUGGGACUAACCUGGAGUGUCUCCCUCCAUUCUGGUGCUUCUCUGGCGGCGUGAAGAAGUCUCAGUGACCGGGGGAGGGAGGCGGGAGCGAGGCUGUCACCGAACCGCCCGCAGCAAGCCGGAACCUUCUCUCUCUCUUUAUUUCCAAUCCUUCUCCGCUUUCCCCCUCGCUCGUAUGCACUUGACGGAGCCCGUACCUCGCCACUUUGAACUUCGAACUGACAAAAACACAAACUAACGAUUAGUGUACGUGUUGUUAAACGAGUGUCGCUGUACUUCUGACGCCACCGGUCAAUACACACCCAUGCCCCGCCCACACUGACCGUGACGUCACCCUUCAACUUUGCAAAAUCAGCGGGUAAUAUCAAACACAGAGCAGCUUGACAAAAAAAGUCAUAACUUUAUUGCACCUUUUCUUUUCGUUUUCUUCAAACGUGGUGCAAACGCAAGUGUGGAAGGUUCAUUUUGGCGGCCUUGACAAAACGCGUGUGCAGGUAAAACACCCACCCACUGCUCGAUUAAAGAUGGUCUUCUCAAUAUAUUUAUAACUAUAUAUGGCCAAUUCAAGGCAGAAUCUCUAGACUAGAAAGAAGGGGCACAUUUUUACAGCACGGGAGGACUGCAUACAAUGCAUUUUGUGUCAUGACGUUGGUGCAGGAGGGAGGGGUCGUGACCCCGAACCAUUUGUUGUAAACUAAUCUUUUGUGGUAUUUGUACAGUGCGUGUCUCAAGUUAAUGGUCUGCCGCAAGAUCACGUCCAAUUUCCCCUCCCACAUUUACAAAACAGUGGGAAUACAGUACAUAUGUGAUGGCUUCCUGAGUCUCCGCCCAUUUUGUGGAGGUGACCGGGAGCGAUGAAAAAAAUUGCAUAGAGGUAUAUGAAUAAAUUACUUUAACUGACAUGAGGGGAAGCUCAAAUGCAAUGUUAAACUGAGUUGAGAAACGCCCCCUCGCCGCCAUUGCAAAUACUCUUGAGCACAACAGUGAAUUUUAUCAUUAGAUUGAAUAUCAAAUUGUGUAUAAUAAAAAAAAAAACAUAAGAAAAUAUGACAUUAUGGCCUACACAUGUCGUCCAGUCAUUCUGAUGCUCCAUAAAUUGUGGAAAUGAAUUAAAAAAAUAAAAUAAAUUCAGUGGGGGAAAAACUAGCCACUCAACACAGCAACAUUACACACCGGCUGAUAAAAAGGUAUAAAAUCAGAACAUUCGGAAAACUAAAAUAUAUAGAGAAAUUAACUUAAUUCUAUUUGAUGGAAAGAGAUCUAAUGGCCCAGGGGGAAAAAAAACUGCGGCUGAUGAUAGAAAAUGGAGGUCCAGUAUUAUUUUUGGUAAUUGGCUCAUUCAGAAUUGAG